This 588-nucleotide ribosomal RNA is filed under the name uncultured bacterium. RNAcentral describes it as "partial 16S ribosomal RNA". It matches the Rfam family "Bacterial small subunit ribosomal RNA", at positions 355 to 1376 of the family's 1533-position model. The record is from RNAcentral.
UGGGGAAUUUUGGACAAUGGGGGAAACCCUGAUCCAGCCAUCCCGCGUGUGCGAUGAAGGCCUUCGGGUUGUAAAGCACUUUUGGCAGGAAAGAAACGUCGCGGGUUAAUACCCCGCGAAACUGACGGUACCUGCAGAAUAAGCACCGGCUAACUACGUGCCAGCAGCCGCGGUAAUACGUAGGGUGCAAGCGUUAAUCGGAAUUACUGGGCGUAAAGCGUGCGCAGGCGGUUCGGAUAGAAAGAUGUGAAAUCCCAGAGCUUAACUUUGGAACCGCAUUUUUUAACUACCGGGCUAGAGUGUGUCAGAGGGAGGUGGAAUUCCGCGUGUAGCAGUGAAAUGCGUAGAUAUGCGGAGGAACACCGAUGGCGAAGGCAGCCUCCUGGGAUAACACUGACGCUCAUGCACGAAAGCGUGGGGAGCAAACAGGAUUAGAUACCCUGGUAGUCCACGCCCUAAACGAUGUCAACUAGCUGUUGGGGGCCUUCGGGCCUUGGUAGCGCAGCUAACGCGUGAAGUUGACCGCCUGGGGAGUACGGUCGCAAGAUUAAAACUCAAAGGAAUUGACGGGGUCAUAGCUGUUUCCUG